AGGGAUGAAUGAAGCACACAAGUACUGAUGAUUGGCUGGAUUUGUUUGCAACAGCUGCAUGAGGAGUUGCCAAAUGUGUUUUCAUCUCCCUGGAUAUUUCCAUGAAAUUUGAACUGCCGUUGCUAAGGAGAUAAUCCAUUUCUGCUGAUUAGUCAUCCUCUGCUGUCAUAAGUGGCUUUACAGCAGAACUGUUCAUAUAGUCACUGGUUCUGAUGUCACAAAGACUGGGGUUCCACAACAGAGCAAGUAGAAGCUGUCUGCAGACUGAGCUCUCCUCUCUGUACUUGGUUGAACAGUUCAUUUCAAGACAAAUUAUCUACAGUUACCACUUCUUUCAGGCACCAAGUUCAAGAGCAGUGAAACCUUAGGUUCCCCUCCCAAGCCAUGGAAAAGAAAGCUUUCUGUCAGUACAGGUCAACAGAGAAGGUCCAUUCGCUAUUGUCCUGUCCAUUUUCUUCCCAGUACUUGAUUGGCAUACAAGGUCCAGAUAGCUUUCACACCUUUGAUUUAAUGAAAUUUCAGAGCCUACUCAGAUCAUCUGUCUUCAUUGGCUGCAUCUCUUAGUUUCUAAAAUAUCAGAGAAAUCAAAAACCAUAGUAACAGAACAAUUUAUUUAUGUAUUCAUAGAAACUGAAGACACAUGUCCACUUACUGUUGCAACAUUAUCUGAUAAAUUGUUAUCACCUUUUCAUUUUCUCUGUUGGUUGUAAUUGUCUACUCCUCAAAAAUUCCUGUCCAUUCCAGUCUUCACAAUGAGAUUUUCAAGUGAUUGUUCCAUUCUGGACAAAACUAGGUAGGUUAAUUUAAAUGGUCUGAAAUGUAGUCUUUGAUAACCCAGCUAUUUUGGUUUGAAAUGCAUUAGAAAGUGAUCACAGGAGCAGCUCAUCUAACAAAAUCCAUGAAACAACAGUUGUCAAGUAUAUGUAGCAAUGACAGAUAGAGCACAAUGAGCUUGAGAGCAAUAAGCUAUUUUCCAGCACACCAAUAACAAGAUGAUGCCCAAGUACAAUACAAAGUCAAACAGGCUACCUCAGAUGAACUGAUACACUAUCAUUUACAUGCAUUAGUUUGAAAAAUUUUAAAAAUGUCAAAAAAACGAUUUCUGGAUAUCUUAACAAGAUUGAAGUUUUAAGGGUAACACUCAUGUUUAGACAGGAUUUUUUAUAUAAUAAAUUUGCAAACCUUUGGAGGUGUGACUAAUUA
Molecule: long non-coding RNA, 1203 nt
Filed under: Coturnix japonica (Japanese quail)
Lineage: Eukaryota; Metazoa; Chordata; Aves; Galliformes; Phasianidae
Description: lncRNA (ENSCJPG00005014879.1)
Source: RNAcentral